GUAUUCUAUAUGCACAACGAUAAAAAUGCUGUUGACGAACUAUAAAGUAAAAUUGUCAAUACUGGUGACAUUUUUCUUAGCUUUUCUAUUUGCCGUUUCCUACAAGUAUAACUAUAUUCUAACGAAGCAACAAAGCGUUUGUAUAGACUCUCAAACAAAUGGUGAAAGAACAUCACAAAAUUUCUCAAACGACGUUGUCACGCAAACCCUGAAAGAAAGUAUCAAAUGGUCAGAAAUCAAGCGAAGACGAAGACUAAAAAAUACCACAAUUCACGAAAGAUGGAUAGUCGUGACUUCAGUAUCGAUGCCAACCGAGCAAGUGAAAGGAUUGUCCACAAUUAAAGGAUGGAAGCUUGUUGUCGUCGCAGAUGUAAAGACGCCAGAUAAUUGGAAGUAUGUCAGUAUAGU
Non-coding RNA from Paramuricea clavata, 408 nucleotides. The record is from the annotation of a GenBank genome assembly. NCBI's taxonomy places the organism in Eukaryota, Metazoa, Cnidaria, Anthozoa, Malacalcyonacea, Plexauridae.